UUUUAUGGAGAGUUUGAUCCUGGCUCAGGAUGAACGCUGGCGGCGUGCCUAAUACAUGCAAGUCGAGCGAACAGACGAGGAGCUUGCUCCUCUGACGUUAGCGGCGGACGGGUGAGUAACACGUGGAUAACCUACCUAUAAGACUGGGAUAACUUCGGGAAACCGGAGCUAAUACCGGAUAACAUGUUGAACCGCAUGGUUCAACAGUGAAAGACGGUCUUGCUGUCACUUAUAGAUGGAUCCGCGCCGCAUUAGCUAGUUGGUAAGGUAACGGCUUACCAAGGCAACGAUGCGUAGCCGACCUGAGAGGGUGAUCGGCCACACUGGAACUGAGACACGGUCCAGACUCCUACGGGAGGCAGCAGUAGGGAAUCUUCCGCAAUGGGCGAAAGCCUGACGGAGCAACGCCGCGUGAGUGAAGAAGGUCUUCGGAUCGUAAAACUCUGUUAUUAGGGAAGAACAAAUGUGUAAGUAACUAUGCACGUCUUGACGGUACCUAAUCAGAAAGCCACGGCUAACUACGUGCCAGCAGCCGCGGUAAUACGUAGGUGGCAAGCGUUAUCCGGAAUUAUUGGGCGUAAAGCGCGCGUAGGCGGUUUUUUAAGUCUGAUGUGAAAGCCCACGGCUCAACCGUGGAGGGUCAUUGGAAACUGGAAAACUUGAGUGCAGAAGAGGAAAGUGGAAUUCCAUGUGUAGCGGUGAAAUGCGCAGAGAUAUGGAGGAACACCAGUGGCGAAGGCGACUUUCUGGUCUGUAACUGACGCUGAUGUGCGAAAGCGUGGGGAUCAAACAGGAUUAGAUACCCUGGUAGUCCACGCCGUAAACGAUGAGUGCUAAGUGUUAGG
RNAcentral lists this ribosomal RNA (845 nucleotides) under Listeria monocytogenes. RNAcentral's name for it is "bacterial SSU rRNA". It matches the Rfam family "Bacterial small subunit ribosomal RNA", at positions 1 to 827 of the family's 1533-position model. The record is from RNAcentral. Lineage: Bacteria; Bacillati; Bacillota; Bacilli; Caryophanales; Listeriaceae.